This 253-nucleotide ribosomal RNA is filed under the name uncultured bacterium. RNAcentral's name for it is "partial 16S ribosomal RNA". It matches the Rfam family "Bacterial small subunit ribosomal RNA", at positions 524 to 776 of the family's 1533-position model. The record is from RNAcentral.
UACGUAGGGUGCAAGCGUCGUCCGGAAUUAUUGGGCGUAAAGAGCUCGUAGGCGGUCUGUCACGUCGGAUGUGAAAAUCCAGGGCUCAACCCUGGACCUGCAUUCGAUACGGGCAGACUAGAAUUCGGUAGGGGAGACUGGAAUUCCUGGUGUAGCGGUGAAAUGCGCAGAUAUCAGGAGGAACACCGGUGGCGAAGGCGGGUCUCUGGGCCGAUAUUGACGCUGAGGAGCGAAAGCGUGGGGAGCGAACAGG